CCUACGGGUGGCUGCAGUGGGGAAUAUUGGACAAUGGGCGAAAGCCUGAUCCAGCCAUGCCGCGUGUGUGAAGAAGGCCUUCGGGUUGUAAAGCACUUUCAGUGGGGAAGAAAGCCUUGGGGCUAAUACCCUCGAGGAAGGACAUCACCCACAGAAGAAGCACCGGCUAACUCCGUGCCAGCAGCCGCGGUAAUACGGAGGGUGCGAGCGUUAAUCGGAAUUACUGGGCGUAAAGGGCGCGUAGGCGGUCUGAUAAGCCGGUUGUGAAAGCCCCGGGCUCAACCUGGGAACGGCAUCCGGAACUGUCAGGCUAGAGUGCAGGAGAGGAAGGUAGAAUUCCCGGUGUAGCGGUGAAAUGCGUAGAGAUCGGGAGGAAUACCAGUGGCGAAGGCGGCCUUCUGGACUGACACUGACGCUGAGGUGCGAAAGCGUGGGUAGCAAACAGGAUUAGAUACCCUAGUAGUC
This 465-nucleotide ribosomal RNA is filed under the name Vreelandella stevensii. RNAcentral's name for it is "partial 16S ribosomal RNA". It matches the Rfam family "Bacterial small subunit ribosomal RNA", at positions 338 to 795 of the family's 1533-position model. The record is from RNAcentral. Lineage: Bacteria; Pseudomonadati; Pseudomonadota; Gammaproteobacteria; Oceanospirillales; Halomonadaceae.